RNAcentral lists this long non-coding RNA (314 nucleotides) under Mytilus galloprovincialis (Mediterranean mussel). Lineage: Eukaryota; Metazoa; Mollusca; Bivalvia; Mytilida; Mytilidae. The record is from RNAcentral.
UGUGGUAGUUUGAAAAUAAAUUACCUGACUUGCAAUGUAUUGAAAAUAAAUAACUCAGCAGGUCUAAUCGAAAGUAUGAGAUGGCACCAGAUUCUUCAUAAAUUCAUCUUUUUUUCCCAAAAAAAUCGAAAAAUCUUCCCAAUUUUUUUAAUAAUGAAAGUAUAAAUAUUAUUUAAAUAUACCUGAAAUGUCUGAAAAUUGGUUUCAUUUAACUUGAGGUAUAUUGUCUCAGGAAACCUUACCUCGCUUUUAUUUUAACAGGGCCGUAACUACAUUGAGACAAAUGCCUCGUGUAGGAAAUUUCAAAACCAAAC